CAACACUGGCCAUCAUUUACACCAACCCCCAAAGUUUGUCACUGCCCAGCUGCACAUUCCGAUCGAAUGGCUUUAUUUACAUAAGAGAGGUGGCCCCACUGAGUUGCAAAUGAGUGUCAUUUGGCGGCCUCUGGGCAGGGCAGCAGGAGUAAGAAAACCUUGGGCAUGCUAGUGUUAAACCAGCGUGAGCAACAAUCCCACUCGCAGUAUGUUAAAGCACUGAAAAUUCACCUCCAAGAAAGUUAUCAGUUGGCUACCAAAAGUGCUGCAAAAGCUGCUGAAAGAAACAAAGUGAGGUAUGACAAACAUGUUACUGAAUCUGCGCUCGAUGUUGGCGAUCGUGUGCUUGUGAAAAAUGUCAGACUCAGAGGUAAAAACAAAUUGGCUGACAAGUGGGAGUCCACUGUUCAUGUUGUCAUAAGUCAAAAGGACAACUUACCUGUGUAUACAGUUAAGCCUGAACAAAAAAUUGGUCCCACUCGUACUCUUCAUAGAGACCUCUUGUUGCCCUGUGGUUUCUUGCCAACUUUGCCUGAGCCUUCACCUGUAGUAAAAGAAAAACCCCGCAGGCCUAGCACACGCCAACAUCCUGCACAUGAUUCUGAACAUGAGUUUGAAUACGACUCCGAGGAAAGUGAUAGCUACCCACUGUAUUUCCCCCCAAGUCCUCUCAAGGAAAUCUCAAGGACAGUUGAGGAAUACAUAGUAGUCCAUCCUCCCAAGUAUGGCCAAAGUCCUACUGUUGAGCAAAUCGCAUCUGAUAAUUCAGUUCCAAAUAUUGAGGAAAUUCCUGAAAAUGCUCCAGAGGAUGUGAAUGAACCUGAACAUGACAACCUACCUGAUUAUGACAAAACACCUGAAAAUGACAAAAACACCGAUAGUGGAAACUUAACAGAUUAUGGAGACAAAACUGAAAGUGAAAUGGAAAACUUGCCUGAACCUGAAAUGAAAGGAGUAAAUGCAAAGGAAACAACAAAAGAUGAAGUAAUCAUAAAUAUUGACAAUAGAAAUGAUACAAAUGAUCCUGACACAGAGCAAAAUGUCAGAAGAUCUCUGAGAGAAAGAAAGACACCCAAACAGUUAACCUACCCACAGUUGGGUAAUCCUCUUGUUACUAUAAUUCAGUCUCUUUUUCAAAGCCUGAGUGAAGCUGUCACAGAUUCUAUUGAACUGCAUGAAGUGAAAGUAGUCUGAACUAUGCAUUAUGCAAAGGGACUUGCAUAGAGUUAAGAGGGGAGGGUGUAACCCAGGUUAAGUGUUUAUCAAAGUGAAAGUAUGUUAUAAAUAGUAAUAAAAAAAGAAAUAAAUAAAUUUGAAAAAAGAAUUAUUAAAUAGGUAAAUAUGCUAAAAUGUUUUAAAACGUUUUUCAUAUUUUAUUUAUUUAUAAGAAUUUGUUAAAAGUUUAAAACUGUUAAUUCGUGG
RNAcentral lists this long non-coding RNA (1422 nucleotides) under Gouania willdenowi (blunt-snouted clingfish). RNAcentral's name for it is "lncRNA (ENSGWIG00000008993.1)". The record is from RNAcentral. Lineage: Eukaryota; Metazoa; Chordata; Actinopteri; Blenniiformes; Gobiesocidae.